This 403-nucleotide ribosomal RNA is filed under the name uncultured bacterium. RNAcentral's name for it is "partial 16S ribosomal RNA". It matches the Rfam family "Bacterial small subunit ribosomal RNA", at positions 30 to 526 of the family's 1533-position model. The record is from RNAcentral.
AUUGAACGCUGGCGGCAGGCCUAACACAUGCAAGUCGAGCGAGCGGCGGACGGUUGAGUAAUGUAUGGGGACUGCCCGAUAGAGGGGGAUAACAACUGGAAACCACUGCUAAUACAGCAUUCAGUCCGAUAACCAUGAUGGGAUUAGCUAGUAGGUAAGGUAAUUGCUUACCUAGGGGACGAUCCCUAGCUGGUCUGAGAGGUUGAUCAGCCACACUGGGACUGAGACACGGCCCAGACUCCUACGGAGGCAGCAGGGGGGAAUAUUGGACAAUGGGCGCAAGCCUGAUGCAGCCAUGCCGCGUGUAUGAAGAAGGCCCUAGGGUUGUAAAGUACUUUCAGUCGGGAGGCGUUACCGAAAGAAGAAGCACCGGCUAACUCCGGGCCAGCAGCCGCGGUAAUUC